UACGUAGGGUGCAAGCGUUGUCCGGAAUUAUUGGGCGUAAAGAGCUCGUAGGCGGCUUGUCGCGUCGGCUGUGAAAACCUGGGGCUCAACCCCGGGCCUGCAGCCGAUACGGGCAGGCUAGAGUUCGGUAGGGGAGACUGGAAUUCCUGGUGUAGCGGUGAAAUGCGCAGAUAUCAGGAGGAACACCGGUGGCGAAGGCGGGUCUCUGGACAGUGACUGACGCUGAGAUGCGAAAGCGUGGGGAGCAAACAGG
RNAcentral lists this ribosomal RNA (253 nucleotides) under uncultured bacterium. RNAcentral describes it as "partial 16S ribosomal RNA". It matches the Rfam family "Bacterial small subunit ribosomal RNA", at positions 524 to 776 of the family's 1533-position model. The record is from RNAcentral.